GACAGAGGAUGCAAACGUUGCUCGGAAUUACUGGGCGUAAAGCGCGCGCAGGUGGUCCGGUAAGUCGGGUGUGAAAUCCCGGGGCUCAACCUCGGAAGUGCACACGAUACUGCCGGACUCGAGUACUGGAGAGGAGAGCGGAAUUCCCGGUGUAGAGGUGAAAUUCGUAGAUAUCGGGAGGAACACCAGUGGCGAAGGCGGCUCUCUGGACAGAUACUGACACUGAGGCGCGAAAGCGUGGGAAGCAAACAGG
Molecule: ribosomal RNA, 253 nt
Filed under: uncultured bacterium
Lineage: Bacteria
Description: partial 16S ribosomal RNA
Rfam family: Bacterial small subunit ribosomal RNA
Source: RNAcentral